ACACAGAUUGUCUGAUGAAAUUAAUGAGCAAGAGCACCUGUUGAUGCGGUAAGGGCAACCUUACGCUGAUGCGAAGAGUGCCAGGGCACGAAAGUGGGCUGGUACGGAAUUUUCGUGUCCCCAUCGUCUAGAGGCCUAGGACACUGCCCUUUCACGGCUGUAACAGGGGUUCGAAUCCCCUUGGGGACGCCAUUCCGAUAAUGUGUGAAAGACAUUAUCACCGGUCUUAACGGACCAGAAUACCUUAAAGAUGACUCUCACGAGUCGUGUUUAAGAUAUUGCUCUUUAACAAUCUGGAACAAGCUGAAAAUUGAAACGACACAGCUGAAACUUAUCUCUCCGUAGAUGUACUGAGAUAAGGAGUACCCUGUGUUGAGUCUCUCAAGACUUGCAAACCGAGGUGAAACAC
This 409-nucleotide unclassified non-coding RNA is filed under the name Bacillus sp. I2MY04A. Its description in RNAcentral is "16S-23S ribosomal RNA intergenic spacer". The stretch from base 117 to 189 matches the Rfam family "tRNA". Lineage: Bacteria; Bacillati; Bacillota; Bacilli; Caryophanales; Bacillaceae. The record is from RNAcentral.